This 431-nucleotide ribosomal RNA is filed under the name uncultured bacterium. RNAcentral's name for it is "partial 16S ribosomal RNA". It matches the Rfam family "Bacterial small subunit ribosomal RNA", at positions 29 to 507 of the family's 1533-position model. The record is from RNAcentral.
AACGAACGCUGGCGGCAGGCUUAACACAUGCAAGUCGAGCGCCCCGCCAGGGGAGCGGCAGACGGGUGAGUAACGCGUGGGAACGUACCUUUUGGUUCGGAACAACUCCGGGAAACUGGAGCUAAUACCGGAUAAGCCCUAACGGGGAAAGAUUUAUCGCCGAACGAUCGGCCCGCGUCUGAUUAGCUAGUUGGUGAGGUAACGGCUCACCAAGGCGACGAUCAGUAGCUGGUCUGAGAGGAUGAUCAGCCACACUGGGACUGAGACACGGCCCAGACUCCUACGGGAGGCAGCAGUGGGGAAUAUUGGACAAUGGGCGCAAGCCUGAUCCAGCCAUGCCGCGUGAGUGAUGAAGGCCUUAGGGUUGUAAAGCUCUUUUGUCCGGGAAGAUAAUGACUGUACCGGAAGAAUAAGCCCCGGCUAACUUCGUG